Molecule: long non-coding RNA, 947 nt
Organism: Apis cerana (Asiatic honeybee)
Lineage: Eukaryota; Metazoa; Arthropoda; Insecta; Hymenoptera; Apidae
Source: RefSeq, a predicted model, not a curated record
GAAGGUUGUAACUCAACAACUUUCUGCACACAAAAGUCACUGGAAGCGUGAAAGAUAAAGGAAAAGGAAAGGAGAAAGAAAGAAUUUGAAAAAUGUCUUUGGUACAAGACUAGCUCCAAGAUUUAUCAGCAAGAUUAUCUAGCUGAUCCAUAACUCAGAGGUAAAUCUAAGGAUGGUGUAAGAAGGAAAAAUUUAUAAAAUAUUCUUCAGCAACCUUGAAUCGCGAAUUUCGAAGGAUUUUAAUUCUCGCAGAGGUUGUCGAACCCAAACGGAAGUCGUAUCCGGCGCAAUAAGAAAUUUCUCAAUCGCAGGAAGUUGGGAGACGUAUCUAGGACGUAUCGGUGGCGUAAGAAAACCGGGCUGGACGAACGUGAAAAACGGCUUGGUUAAUGAAACUAAAUGAAAGUAUCGCAAUUUAAUGGAAAUCGACGAAACGAAGGUGUACAGUUUGUAUUAAAACUUAUGAAUAAUUCAGGAAAUUAGAGGGACACGAGUGUGCCCUUUUUUGCAUUCAACGCCUUUUUGAGCUUCGCUGGUGAUGAAAACUCGCCAGAUUUCUUUUUUUUUGUCUUUUUUUAGUAAUAAAUCGUUUCAAUCUUUUUACAGUCAUACAAUAUUUAAUCGCUGAUGAUUGAUAACAUUCGACGAGGUUGUCUAUUCGUAACUUCAUUUAUACCCAACUUCUAUCUUAUAUCAUUUCCUCUUUUCUAUAAAUUAGGCAAAAUGUAAAUACCACGAAUCAUUGUUUAUCGCGUGAUUCACUGUACACUGUACUUCGAUCGAAAAAUAUUUCUACAAUCUUGGAGUAAAAAAAAGAAAAGAAAUCGAAAAUCCAAUAAUCCAGAAUAAUGAAAACGGAGAAAGAAGAAAGAGGGAAGAAGCGAAAAAAAAAGAGAGAAAUUACGAAAGCAUGGAACCAAGAGUCGGUGUAAGUAUCGAUAUAACGA